CGGAAGUACGUCACUCGCAGGUGACUCGCGAGUCGUGCAUCGUGCCAGAAAACUAAACAUGGACGACACACAGGGUUGGAGCACUCGAGAAACUCAAUCACUCAUUGCUCUUUGGAGCGAUGAAAGCGUCCAAAAAAACUUGUUAAAACAUAUAGAGUAUAAAGUAUAUUUUUAUAAAUAUCGCAGAAGAUGAAUGAGCAGGGUUACAAUAGGACGUGGCAACAGUGCCAAAGAAAAAUUAAAAGUCUGAAACUUAUUUACCGCAAAGCGAAGGACAACAACAACUGAAGCGGACGGGCCAGAGUAACAUGUAAAUUUUUUUAAGAAUUGGAUCGAGUGUUGGGAGACAAGCCAUCCUUCGUGCCCGGAGACAGCGAGGUAUUGGAUACGGCAAGAUUGGUGGAUGAGGACAGUAUGGGUGGAGACAUGGAUGAGAUUCAGUCAAAUGAAGAACCUACUUCCAACCCAAGGUCAGAAGACGAUGGUCAAGGUGAAGAGCAAGAUGUUUCCGAUCAUGCACAGCGAGACGAUGCUGG
Tachysurus fulvidraco (yellow catfish) is the source of this 536-nucleotide long non-coding RNA. RefSeq lists it as uncharacterized. The record is from RefSeq and is a predicted model, not a curated record. NCBI's taxonomy places the organism in Eukaryota, Metazoa, Chordata, Actinopteri, Siluriformes, Bagridae. The transcript is spliced from 2 exons.